UGAUCAUUUUAAUGUGUCUGAUUUAAUUUUGCGAGCAAAUUUUCCUAUUUAUAAUCGGUCCUUUUAUUUCUUUGUUCUAGUAUCUAAAUUAGAGUUUGUUUUAUUAUUAUUAUUAUUUAAAUAAAAUUUAUGUUUAUGAAUUUUUAAUAAAUAUUUUAACAUUGGAUUCCUAUUAUUUUUGGACAGCUAGCACAUAUCUUCUCAUCACUCUCCCUCACCUUUCCUAUCUCUCACACGCUACUCAUCACACACGUCUCUCCCUACCUAUCUACACGCCACCUUCACUUUCUCUUUUCUGUCACUCUCAUAAAACACUCACUCACCUCUCUCAACCUGACUCAUCUCUCUCUGCUACAAGUUAAUAAAAAGAGAGAACUAGAAGGAGAGAAGGAGAAGCUUAUUCUUCACGCAGAAACACUUCCCUAUUUCUCCACACCAUAAACAAACCCUUUUCAUCUUCUGCACAAAACUUCACAAUCAUCUUAUUCCAAACAACAACAACCUCUCACUCCUUCUUCCAUCGGCGACUACACCCUUCCAAAACCAUUUCCGACCGCCACCGACGAAGCUCUAUAGCCCCUACAUCCAGCCUACUGCUAAACCGCCGGAAACUCACUGUCCCGCCUUGAACGCCGCCGCUACGAGUCGCCCUUCCGAA
This 658-nucleotide long non-coding RNA is filed under the name Lathyrus oleraceus (garden pea). RNAcentral describes it as "Pisum sativum (pea) long non-coding RNA (PSAT_LNC040275)". The record is from RNAcentral. Lineage: Eukaryota; Viridiplantae; Streptophyta; Magnoliopsida; Fabales; Fabaceae.